AAUUAUUUGAAGUAACUUUUGUGUUUGUGUUUGCUCUUGAUUUAAAUACAUCUGUGCCUGAGCCAUUGUUCUACCGUAUGUCAGUUGUAUAGUGCAUGAAAACUGCUCACUUGAUAUUAAAUAUAUUGAGUGUUACUGUAGUAGGCUUUUUUCAGAGAAAUACUUAAAAAAAACGAAUGAAUUUAUUUUACAAAUUCCCUGAAUUUAAUCAGUGAAUCUGUAAAAAAGAUCUUAAUUAUUUCAGGGAUUUUGUAAAAUCACUAGUCAAAAUCAGGGAUUUUAUAAAAUCACUAAUCAGUUCAGUGAUUUUACAAAAUCCCUGAUUUCACAAAUUCCCUGUAACAUAUACAGCU
RNAcentral lists this long non-coding RNA (353 nucleotides) under Mytilus galloprovincialis (Mediterranean mussel). Lineage: Eukaryota; Metazoa; Mollusca; Bivalvia; Mytilida; Mytilidae. The record is from RNAcentral.